RNAcentral lists this ribosomal RNA (510 nucleotides) under Triticum aestivum (bread wheat). RNAcentral's name for it is "partial small subunit ribosomal RNA". Lineage: Eukaryota; Viridiplantae; Streptophyta; Magnoliopsida; Poales; Poaceae. The record is from RNAcentral.
AUGAGAGAAUACUACUGCUAUAAAUUCCAUACACGACCAAACAUAUUCAACCCAAUAUUGCACGGUGGACGGCUUUUCCAGCAGUUUGCUGUAGAUACAUACAUCAAGAUUGAAAGCUCCAGAUUGGAUUAUAUGUGGCAUCAUCAGAACAAAAUAAGGGCAGAUCUAUACCAAGGCCUUCUAGACAGCAUUCAAGCAGGAGAACAGAAUGGAGAUGCAGUCGGAAAACGGAGAGUACUUGCCUCAUCGUUUAUUGGAGGGCCACGAGAUAAACUUCGCCGGUAUCUAGAUGCUAUGGCUUUAGUUAGAAAAUAUGGAAAGCCGGAUGUAUUCCUCACAAUGACCUGCAACCCCAACUGGGAAGAGAUCACACGUGAACUACAGUUCGGACAAACACCACAAGAUCGCCCAGACAUUGUAGUUCGUGUCUUCAGGGCCAAGCUAGAAGAAAUGAAGAAGCAACUAUUUGAGAAGGCCAUUCUUGGAAAGGUUCAGGCAUAUACAUAUGUC